RNAcentral lists this ribosomal RNA (492 nucleotides) under uncultured bacterium. RNAcentral's name for it is "partial 16S ribosomal RNA". It matches the Rfam family "Bacterial small subunit ribosomal RNA", at positions 29 to 507 of the family's 1533-position model. The record is from RNAcentral.
AGUGAACGCUGGCGGUAGGCCUAACACAUGCAAGUCGAACGGCAGCACAGUAAGAGCUUGCUCUUACGGGUGGCGAGUGGCGGACGGGUGAGGAAUACAUCGGAAUCUACUUUUUCGUGGGGGAUAACGUAGGGAAACUUACGCUAAUACCGCAUACGACCUACGGGUGAAAGCAGGGGAUCUUCGGACCUUGCGCGAUUGAAUGAGCCGAUGUCGGAUUAGCUAGUUGGCGGGGUAAAGGCCCACCAAGUCGACGAUCGGUAGCUGGUCUGAGAGGAUGGUCGGCCACACUGGAACUGGGCCGCGGUCCAGGCUCCUACGGGAGGCAGCAGUGGGGAAUAUUGGACAAAGGGCGCAAGCCUGAUCCAGCCAUACCGCGUGGGUUAAGAAGGCCUUCGGGUUGUAAAGCCCUUUUGUUGGGAAAGAAAAGCAGCAGGUUAAUACCCCGCUGUUCUGACGGUACCCAAAGAAUAAGCACCGGCUAACUUCGUG